CUGCUUCACUCAGAUUAGUCUACACAUCCGCAUACUCGACUCAGAGACAUUCUCAAAACAGCUUUCUGACCAUUUAGGAGUAACAGGAGAGGUUCAAUCAUUAUCACAGCGAGAAUCAGAGUUUCUCAAGGGAAUAAGGUCCCUUUCUCAAAGUCAGUGACCUCUCCUGUCUUUAAGCUCGUGCACCCUUU
Molecule: small RNA, 191 nt
Filed under: Arabidopsis thaliana (thale cress)
Lineage: Eukaryota; Viridiplantae; Streptophyta; Magnoliopsida; Brassicales; Brassicaceae
Description: ATSL161580
Source: RNAcentral